AGAUUGAACGCUGGCGGCAGGCCUAACACAUGCAAGUCGAGCGGUAGAGAGGUGCUUGCACCUCUUGAGAGCGGCGGACGGGUGAGUAAUGCCUAGGAAUCUGCCUAGUGGUGGGGGAUAACGUUCGGAAACGGACGCUAAUACCGCAUACGUCCUACGGGAGAAAGCGGGGGACCUUCGGGCCUCGCGCCAUUAGAUGAGCCUAGGUCGGAUUAGCUAGUUGGUGAGGUAAUGGCUCACCAAGGCGACGAUCCGUAACUGGUCUGAGAGGAUGAUCAGUCACACUGGAACUGAGACACGGUCCAGACUCCUACGGGAGCAGCAGUGGGGAAUAUUGGACAAUGGGCGAAAGCCUGAUCCAGCCAUGCCGCGUGUGUGAAGAAGGUCUUCGGAUUGUAAAGCACGUUUAAGCUGGAGAAGGUUGUAAACGUUAAUACGUGCAACUUUGACGUUACGACAGAAUAAGCACCGGCUAACUUCGUGCCAGCAGCCGUACG
RNAcentral lists this ribosomal RNA (497 nucleotides) under uncultured soil bacterium. RNAcentral's name for it is "bacterial SSU rRNA". It matches the Rfam family "Bacterial small subunit ribosomal RNA", at positions 26 to 521 of the family's 1533-position model. The record is from RNAcentral.